RNAcentral lists this ribosomal RNA (253 nucleotides) under uncultured bacterium. Its description in RNAcentral is "partial 16S ribosomal RNA". It matches the Rfam family "Bacterial small subunit ribosomal RNA", at positions 524 to 776 of the family's 1533-position model. The record is from RNAcentral.
UACGUAGGGGGCAAGCGUUGUCCGGAAUUAUUGGGCGUAAAGAGCGUGUAGGCGGUCCGGUAAGUCGGCUGUGAAAGUCCAGGGCUCAACCCUGGGAUGCCGGUCGAUACUGCCGGACUAGAGUUCGGAAGAGGCGAGUGGAAUUCCCGGUGUAGCGGUGAAAUGCGCAGAUAUCGGGAGGAACACCUAUGGCGAAGGCAGCUCGCUGGGACGUUACUGACGCUGAGACGCGAAAGCAUGGGGAGCGAACAGG